RNAcentral lists this transfer RNA (74 nucleotides) under Spirosoma sordidisoli. RNAcentral's name for it is "Spirosoma sp. TY50 tRNA-Met". It matches the Rfam family "tRNA". From Rfam's summary of the family: Transfer RNA (tRNA) molecules are approximately 80 nucleotides in length. Their secondary structure includes four short double-helical elements and three loops (D, anti-codon, and T loops). Further hydrogen bonds mediate the characteristic L-shaped molecular structure. tRNAs have two regions of fundamental functional importance: the anti-codon, which is responsible for specific mRNA codon recognition, and the 3' end, to which the tRNAs corresponding amino acid is attached (by aminoacyl-tRNA synthetases). tRNAs cope with the degeneracy of the genetic code in two manners: having more than one tRNA (with a specific anti-codon) for a particular amino acid; and 'wobble' base-pairing, i.e. permitting non-standard base-pairing at the 3rd anti-codon position. Lineage: Bacteria; Pseudomonadati; Bacteroidota; Cytophagia; Cytophagales; Cytophagaceae. The record is from RNAcentral.
AGCGGGGUAGAGCAGUAGGUAGAUCGUGGGCCUCAUAAGCCCAAGUCGCCGGUUCGAGUCCGGCCCCCGCUCCA